GAUCAUUAUAAAUAGAGAUAAUUGUAGCAACAAGAAUGUUCAGUACAGUAAGAUCUACAUACACGUCACCAUCACCAAAACACAAUUUUGUCGUGAAUUUAUCUGUGUCCAUUGUUUAAUAUGCACAAAGACCAAGGUGAGCGACACAGGCUCUUGAGAGCCUCUAGUUUGGUCAUACACCUUAUGUUAAAAUUUCAUAGAUUUCUGUUGACUUAUACUAAAGUUAUUGUGCGAAAACCAAGAAAAAUGCUUAUGUGGGCCCUUUUUGGCCCCUAAUUCCUAAACUGUUGGAACCAAAACUCCAAAAAUCAAUCCCAACCUUCC
This 324-nucleotide long non-coding RNA is filed under the name Mytilus galloprovincialis (Mediterranean mussel). The record is from RNAcentral. Lineage: Eukaryota; Metazoa; Mollusca; Bivalvia; Mytilida; Mytilidae.